Chelonia mydas (Green sea turtle) is the source of this 988-nucleotide long non-coding RNA. RefSeq lists it as uncharacterized. Lineage: Eukaryota; Metazoa; Chordata; Testudines; Cheloniidae. The transcript is spliced from 4 exons. The record is from RefSeq and is a predicted model, not a curated record.
AGGUUGGAUUUUCCUGGCUCUGGUCUGCGUGGUCCCUGAAAUGAAGUGUUUGCAAGAAACCCAGUUGAAUAGAUUAUAGUGGAAUUAAAAAUCCUGUUCUCUUUUUCUUUUUCCUUUCUGGCAUUCCUGAGCAUAGAAUAGGUCACUUCUACAUGGAAGAUCCAGUAAAGUCUACAACUGUAGGACAUCAAUGGAGAAGGAGGGAAAAGAGACACUGGUGUUUUUUUCUUCAAGCCUUGUGAUUUAUACGGGACCUCCAGGAAUGACCCACAUCCUGAGGCGUUUACGCAUUCCUAGCCCAACUUUCUAUCUGGCCGGGUGCCUGAGAGCAAAAAUCUUUCUGUAAUAUAAAGAACAGGACAUAACCGAGAGGAAGGCUGAUCUCGACGGAGCCUGCAAACGCCUGAGCUUGACGAUUGGUAACCACGGCAACAGGGCCUCCUUUGAAAUAAUUGCUUGUUACAGAUCCCCAUUUUGUGCGGAGAACUGGUCAGCAUUAAAAAUUGGAGAAGACAAGGAAUUCCUCAGAUGAACAAUGAGGGGAAAAAAUGGACCCAGAGCUGUUUUGCUACAUGCCCAUCAUUCCAAGGCCAUGGCUCUGUUAGUUAGCCAAGUUUAAAAUACCCGUCAAGGCCAUCAUAGACAGUAGAGCCACUCAGGUGAAGCUGCUUAAUGCAGCUUAAAGAUAAGGUCCUCCAAUGAACAAACCAGAUAAACAGAGCAUAAACACGUUCCAUUGCAGGCAAAAGACUUGACAAGACAGAGAGAAUCAGGGAGGCUGCUCUAAUUGGCCAGAGGUGCAGAGGAGAAGGGUCUUGCACCAAGAGUUGGUGGAUUUCUUGCUCGCUUGAUACAUUCAGUCAUAACAUCCUUCAAGUUUCCAGGCUUCUUUUUUCCCCCCUUGAGAUCUGAUCCUGGUGAAUUUGUGCUGAUUUCAUUGAAAUGUUUCACUCAGGAAAAAAAAAACCUACAAAAAAUCUGAAAAAAU